This is a non-coding RNA of Zonotrichia albicollis (white-throated sparrow), 4612 nucleotides long. Lineage: Eukaryota; Metazoa; Chordata; Aves; Passeriformes; Passerellidae. The record is from RefSeq and is a predicted model, not a curated record.
UUUUUGUUUGUUUGUUUUUUGGGGGUUUUUUCUGAUUUUGUUGGUUUGGUUUGGUUUUAUAUCUGAGGCUGCUCUGCUAGGAAAGGAGGUAGCAGCUGAGAGCAGGUGCCUCUGCAUCAGAAACCCCAGUUCAAAGUCCACUGAAUUUUGCUAAGCUACCAGGCUGAGAGCUGGAGUAUCUGCAGUACAGCACUGGGCCCUCCCCUCCCUGUGCUCUUACAGAAGAGGGGACAACAGUGCGUUGUCUUUUGUUUCUUCUGCUACAAGAGCAGUAAUCUGUGUCAGAGUAGCAGGAUGGAAAGCUAAGGGCAGUAGCAUUUUAAAACUGCAGGAUUACCCAGAUCUGUCUGCCUGAGACACCAAAAAUGCAUCAGCCAAGUGCUGUCCCUUACCCCCCAGCUUUCAUGAUUGUGAGGCAGGUAAAGUUAACUUCAAUCUUCAGGAGGUUGAAAUAUUGGUUUUCUCCCUGAACACCAAUUUAAUUUCUGUGGGAAGGAAAUAUCUGUGCCAUCUUCUUAUGUAAUAGUCUGAAAAUGUCUAUGAAGUAUCUUGUUGACAUUUUCCCAAAGAACUUUUUUUGUGUGAAAAUGCCACAACACGCAUCACCACAAGAAAGGGUAAAUAAACUCCAAGAAGUUAUCCAUACAUCAGGCUCUCCAAAGCUAUAGUAGUAUUUACUCUAGCAAUGUAUCAUGUCUUUAAUACUGCUGUAUUGUCCUUAUUGCGUAGUUUCAUUGGGCUGACCUCAAAAAUACUCAGUGUACCUUGAAAUUUUGUUCGUUUUAAAUGAGUUUUUAAAUGAGUUACAGGAAGGUAACCCUGAGGCAGGGUUACAAUCAAGCAUUUGGAUCUGGUAAGCCAUAACUCUGUGUCUUUGUCUUUUCUCUUACAAAGCUCUGUGGGCACAUAUGCCCAUAUAAAUGCUUUUUAGUUGUGUGGUAGAGAGGAAAUUACAGCCACUGGCUGGAUUUGGAGGUGAGGGUGGUUUGGUAAUUUUUGGGUAUCCAUGACUGGCUUUAUUUCAGAAGGAAUGUCUAUAUGUAUUACUUUUCAGUUACUUUCCAAGUAACCAGGUAGAGAAUCGGUGUCCAAAAUAGAAUUUUUGCUGUGUAAUUUACAAUGGAGGCUAUGGUAUUUCCUUGCUGCUGCCCUAGAAAGGAAAGAUGAGGAGAUUUCACCAUUUUCUUUUCCCCUCCCUUCAGUGACAGGAUCCAGCUGAUCUGUCUGAAGAUAGUUCAAUUCUUCUCUCCCUCAUUUUAGUGAACAAUCUGCUCAUCAGUACAGUGGCACUUUGUAGAAGCUCAGGUAGGGUGUUGAGUAUUUUAGAUGUACUGCAAAAGGCUUUCUAUGGUGGCUUUCAGUCAAAAUCUUGCAUGGGCAGUGCCAUAUGGCUAUGCCACCUAAAUAGAGGCAGAGAGAGAUUUUUUGCAGAGGCACCAGCUCCUCAGCUUGAGACAUUUGCUGAAAUCUGCAGUUUAGGCUGAUUCCUGGCCAGCCAGGGUGAGUCUGCCCUGGCAAGGAACUCAGUGUGUAUGUGGAAGACCAGAGAGAGCACUAUCCCAGCAUGCCUGAGUGAGGAAGCACAGAGAUGGGAAAGAGUCUGUCAGGGGCAAUCUGGCUCUACCAAGCAGCUACUCCAGAGCUGAUUAGUACAGGAAGAAGGAGGUUAUAUGACCAAUACAAUAAAUCACAAAGAUAAUUAUUUGAAUGGCAUGCUGCAGGAGAAUCAUAAGAAAUUAUGGAAAGUAAUAAACUCUGUAAACAGCAGUGAUUUUUUAAGACCCUGGUGCUUGUGGGAGUGCUUCAGGAAAAGGAAGAGAGAAAGUAAAACACCAGAAAGGGAUGAUAAUAUUAGAUGAGAACAACAGGAGUCAAACCAUGAACUGCAUUAAGGGACUUGGAAGAUUGCAGUGUUUUAGAUAAAGGGAAGGGACUAAGAUAAGUGCAGCGUCAGUACACUGAGAUAAGAGCAAAGAGGAAAGGUAAUUGGAGGCAGUGCACUUUGUGGUCAGUGGGCCAAAUGUGUUAGGCUCAGAGCUGGGGAUGUGUAUGGCCCUGGUAGCAUAUCCCCAAGGACAGGAAUACCAGUUCUGACUUUGGAGUGAUGAUUAUUUAGUAAAAUCUUCCGCACAGUGUUUGGUAGUUGUUAAAAAACAAGAUACUGGAAUAUGCAGAGAAUGUUUGGGGCUGUAAAUGUAAUGUCUGCUUCAUCCCACUAUACUAAAAAAACCCCAACAAAACCCACAAACACAAAAGAAGAAAGAAUACCUUUCAGGAUAAUGGGGCAGAUUGUGGGUUGGUAUAACUCAGCUUGGUUUCCUCAAAAUCAGCUAUGUAGCUUUAUGUUAACAGAGCCUGUAUUUGGUAAUGUGUAUGCCUGUCUAGCAUAGUAUAUACACAGGAUUUUUUACUUGUUGCAUUAUCCAGAAAGUUAUACAAAUGAUCAAGACCUGGGGCAUAGCAUGAGACCAACAAUAAAACAUGAAAUUAAACAAAAGUACAUGUCUUCUUAAUUCUACUGAUGUAGGCAAGUCAUUCUGCUUUUUUAUAAAGCUCUCUGAUGGAGCUCUAUGCACAUCUCUGAUCCUUGUGAUUAACUUUCCUGACCAAUGCUGGCAGACUCUGUGAUGGAGUCUCUGCUCCCAGGGGCUCAGCACUAGUCUCUACAAAGGUAUCUGGGAUCUGCAGGGUCAGGCUGCCUGCCCAGCUUGUCACAAAGACCUUGUGACCAUUUACAAGUCUUAAGGACUGGCCUAAGCUUCCAGCCAUUCUCUAUAUUAGCAAAAAUCACAUAUAUUUCAGAUUUAGCCAGAAAGGCUAGACCAGCAAAGGAAUAUACCUUUGGCUGCACAUGACUUGGAUAUACCUGGACAUGAGUAUUUGAAAUGAAGGCACAAAUUUGUAUUUGUACAGGGUAGUUCUGUGUAUGGCAUUUUGUUUGGGUCCUCUAACUGAACUGAAGAGGAGGUAACACAACUCACCUAAGUAGUUUGAAUUUCUUACGCUAAAUUGCAAAGGCCUGUGCAUGAUUACAAAGAUGCUGACAUUGGGUUGGAGUUAUUUUUAAAGAUGAAAGAGAAAUAUUGCUGCAUUUAUGUUUAGUAUGUCUUUCAACAAAGAAGAAAAUUUUAAAAAAUCAGGAAUAAAAUUUGACCAGUCAGUGAGUAAUACUCAUUUUAUAUCACUACCACUAACACUUAACUUUUCACCAUAAUAUUUGCUCUCUGCAGGACAUUUUUGCAUAUAGGAAGCUAAGGCUAUAUAGUAAUAUAAAGGGUUGAAGUAGGACUAAGAAGUUAUAACCCCCAAAAGUAAAGAGAGAGAGAAAAACACACUUAUAAAUGUCUUUCCAGUCUCAUAUUGUCUCUAAAUUUAUCAAUUCCAUAUUCCAUAAUGCUCUAAGUUCCAGCCUCAACAGAUAACAUUAAGCAGUACGUAUUAUAAUUUCAUCAGACUUGGACUCUUCCUUAAAACCUCAGGUGACUUCAUGCAUUUAUAUCAAUUUUAUCAACAGAGCAGUGCAUCUGACUCUCUGAAAGGAGGUGUGGAUCCAAGACCAAAUUUCUCAUGACAAGAAGGUUUGGAUUUUGAUGGGAUGCUUAUGACAAACACAGACAGAAAGAGACCAAAAUCUCUCAUGUAAAAUAAUACAAAAAAAACCUCUGGAAAUACUGUGUAUGUGAUGUCUUCAGUUAGUAAUAUUUUUGGAAGACUAAAGGCAGUUUUCAUUUGGCUGAUUUGUGUUACUUGGGGGUGACCAUGUGCAUAAACUAUAACGGGAAGUCAGUAUUUCUGAAAAUUUAUAUAAGAGGAUUUAACCAGAGAAGUGUGACCUGCUGACUCAUUGUCCCAAAAUGGUAUCAGUCUAAAAUAUCAUUGCAAAUGUGAGCUGAAUUCUCAUGCCAGCCCUAAAUGGGACAGACAGUAGCUCCAUACAUUAGGAGAACAGGCUGUCGUAGCUGUAUCUAGUAGAGAAGAGCAAGGAAAGAAUACUAAAACCAUUUAUCAUAAGGAAAAAAAAAUUAAAACUUCAGUCUUGGUGCAAAUUGGCAACUGCAAGCUGUAAAUUGUAAUUAAUGAGAAACAAAAAUUAGCUUAAAAUGGUUCACUAAGAGACGUUUGAUUCUGGGACAUCAGAUGAGUUCAGCUUCUGUUGGACUGCACACCUAGGACAUAUGAAACUCUGAACUGUGAAGGAACAGAGUUCAAACGCCAAACACAAGCAGAAGCAUUGGGUUUUUUCAACAUUUUCUGGCAGCAGAGCUCCACUCAAUGGUUUGGUAUAUUCCCCACCUUCUUUCUUCAUGUCUCUUUCUAUGGAUAUUGAAGAGAAGCUGAGGUAUUGUCAGAAAGCCAACAGUUGAUCUUCCCUUUUGACAUGCCAUAUCAUCUUCUGAGACAACACAGCAUGUCUUGAAGUAUAAAAAGCAUAAUACUGCUUUAUUGGGGUUGAGUUGGAGCAGCAACGUGCAAGAUGUUGUCAAUGCCUGGUAACCCCUCAGCCGUGUCUGUUCCUGUGCCUUCACACGUGGGUGUAGAGCAAGAACUCUCCUGCAUGAGCUGUUUUAAAUCUUUGGAGGACUGCCUAGCAGAAAGGAUGUCCAGUUCUGGG